This 1747-nucleotide long non-coding RNA is filed under the name Homo sapiens (human). RNAcentral's name for it is "HSALNT0315165". Lineage: Eukaryota; Metazoa; Chordata; Mammalia; Primates; Hominidae. The record is from RNAcentral.
CCAUUGUUAAAUUAGUUGGGUUUUCCUGGACCAGUUAUUUGCAAGAGUUUCCUUUGGUCAGAAAGGCAUUUUAGUAGUAUUCCAGCUACUUGAUUUUCAUACUGCAAAUCUAGAUUUUUCUUGAUUACCCCAAAUUCUACGUCUCUGUGAUUCUUCAUAUAACCCCACUUUCUCUGUUUCUAUAAAACAAACCCAGUCCAGGAUUCCUGCUGCUAGCAGUUCACCUCUGUUCCUGUUCCUGCUGUUCAAGAAAAUAUAUAGAUAUUUCACCUUUGGUUGUGCCUCUCAUCUUCCGAAAGGUAAUAAAAGGACCCUCAAGCUCUGAUGUAUGAGCUGCUUGGACUCAAAGAGAUGUUUUAAGAUUAUUCAACAAAGAAAUAACAGUGCUUUCUCCAUGUACUGUGAAACACAUCCAUCUGGAUCCACCUAUUUAAGCUACAUGCCUAGCCUCCAGAGUCAUCCAGACUUUUAGCAUAAGAACUCAAAUGAGAAAUCAUGAAGAAUGCAUUAACUGAAUCCAAUAUCACCUACAGGACCCUGGGCCCAUUGCACUUUGUAAUUGUAUUACUUUUCUUCUGGUUAUCUUCAUAGGAUCUUAGGUAUACUCUCUCUGAAAAGUGUUAAAGACAACUUCUCCCUGGGCCUGAGAAUAAAUUAUCUUUUUCCUAUCGCUGUAUAUUUUUGUUUGUUUGUCUCGUUUUUUUGUUUUUUGUUUUUUCCUGGCUGGAUAGGGAAGUGAUCAAGCCACAAGUGAGGAGCUGCAGUGGCCCAUGAACAAUACAUAGGUCCAUCUCCUGGAACUUGUGACCACUCGCCCAGGAUCGCACUCAUGGCCACAACAAAGAUGAUGGCUUUUCUGUUUCUCCGGCUGCACCACAUCAGACACCUGUGGCAAAUAUUGAGGCAACACUAUGUGAAGUCUGACUAGUGACUCUUAGAGACUCCAACUAAUGGCUUCUCUGGGAGGGAUAAAAUAGGGCACAUGAAAUUAUCUUGUUGAGAAUACAUAGGUAUGUUUAUAGACUCACAUAUAUUUCAUUUAUAAAUAUAAAAUUAUUUUAGACUGAGUUACAAUUUUUAUGGUAAAAAUAAGUAGAAUAAUAGCAUUUAAAUAAUACUUUUAAACUUUUUCAUAUUCUUUCCUAAAUACCUUGAUUAACAUUUAUUUGGUAACAUUAUUUGUCCCAUUCUUUAAAAAGAAGGAAAAUAGGCUAUGAGAAAGUAAGUACAUUCAAGUUCCAAUUAUUCUUAAUAUGUUGUAUCAUAGUAUGUCAUUUGCAUCAAAGUCAGUUACACAGCAAACUAACCAACUGCACAAACAAAAAUAAUAAUAUGAAAGUAGAAAUUUACAUUUGAAACUCUUAACUACCAUCGGUACCAAAUAUACUUUUGGUUAUCUUGUCAAAUUAUAGGGAUGAGUGGCUGAGACCAUGCAGGUAUGUUCGGUAGGGUUGAAUGGAGUGUUAGAGUGUUGCUAUUGGCCUUGAAAUAGAUUGAUUUUUUUUUCUUUUUUUUGCCUUCUACCUGGGAUCAUGGUCUCUGCCUUACUUGCACAGGGUCCUCAUUAUCAAAGCAGAUUAUCUGGCUCAUAUUACACAAUAUGUUAAAUAGCUUACUUCUUUAAAUAUACACACUUUCACCAUAUUCAAAUGUGAAUACUCAGAGCUUAAAAACACUCAUGAGAUUUUAUUAAAAACAAUUUCAAUUAAAAAUAAAAUUGUGUUUUAACCUUUAUGUGUUUCCCAGG